GAGAAUCCUAAGGUGAUCGAGAGAACUCUCGUUAAGGAACUCGGCAAAAUGACCCCGUAACUUCGGGAGAAGGGGUGCUCUGGUAGGGUGUUAAAGCCCGAGAGAGCCGCAGUGAAUAGGCCCAGGCGACUGUUUAGCAAAAACACAGGUCUCUGCAAAACCGCAAGGUGAAGUAUAGGGGCUGACGCCUGCCCGGUGCUGGAAGGUUAAGAGGAGAGGUCAGCGCAAGCGAAGCUUCGAAUUGAAGCCCCAGUAAACGGCGGCCGUAACGAUAACGGUCCUAAGGUAGCGAAAUUCCUUGUCGGGUAAGUUCCGACCCGCACGAAAGGCGUAACGAUCUGGGCACUGUCUCAACGAGAGACUCGGUGAAAUUAUAAUACCUGUGAAGAUGCAGGUUACCCGCGACAGGACGGAAAGACCCCGUGGAGCUUUACUGUAACCUGAUAUUGAAUUCCGGUGCAGCCUGUACAGGAUAGGUAGGAGCCUUGGAUUCCGGAGCGCUAGCUUCGGAUGAGGCGUUGGUGGGAUACUACCCUGGCUGUAUUGGACUUCUAACCCAUGCCCCUUAUCGGGGCAGGAGACAGUGUCAGGCGGGCAGUUUGACUGGGGCGGUCGCCUCCUAAAGAGUAACGGAGGCGCCCAAAGGUUCCCUCAGAAUGGUUGGACAUCAUUCGUAGAGUGCAAAGGCAUAAGGGAGCUUGACUGCGAGACCUACAAGUCGAGCAGGGUCGAAAGACGGGCUUAGUGAUCCGGUGGUUCCGCAUGGAAGGGCCAUCGCUCAACGGAUAAAAGCUACCCCGGGGAUAACAGGCUUAUCUCCCCCAAGAGUCCACAUCGACGGGGAGGUUUGGCACCUCGAUGUCGGCUCAUCGCAUCCUGGGGCUGUAGUCGGUCCCAAGGGUUGGGCUGUUCGCCCAUUAAAGCGGUACGCGAGCUGGGUUCAGAACGUCGUGAGACAGUUCGGUCCCUAUCCGUCGCGGGCGCAGGAAAUUUGAGAGGAGCUGUCCUUAGUACGAGAGGACCGGGAUGGACAUACCUCUGGUGUACCAGUUGUCUUGCCAAAGGCAUCGCUGGGUAGCUAUGUAUGGACGGGAUAAAUGCUGAAAGCAUCUAAGCAUGAAGCCCCCCUCGAGAUGAGAUUUCCCAUUACGCAAGUAAGUAAGAUCCCUCAAAGAAGAUGAGGUUGAUAGGUCUGGGGUGGAAGCACGGCGACGUGUGGAGCUGACGGAUACUAAUCGAUCGAGGACUUAACC
RNAcentral lists this ribosomal RNA (1253 nucleotides) under metagenome. Its description in RNAcentral is "bacterial LSU rRNA". It matches the Rfam family "Bacterial large subunit ribosomal RNA", at positions 1674 to 2925 of the family's 2925-position model. The record is from RNAcentral.